GUUAAGCGACUAAGCGUACACGGUGGAUGCCCUGGCAGUCAGAGGCGAUGAAGGGCGUGCUAAUCUGCGAUAAGCGCCGGUAAGGUGAUAUGAACCGUUAUAACCGGCGAUACCCGAAUGGGGAAACCCAGUGUGAUUCGUCACACUAUCAUUAACUGAAUCCAUAGGUUAAUGAGGCGAACCGGGGGAACUGAAACAUCUAAGUACCCCGAGGAAAAGAAAUCAACCGAGAUUCCCCCAGUAGCGGCGAGCGAACGGGGAGGAGCCCAGAGCCUGAAUCAGCAUGUGUGUUAGUGGAAGCGUCUGGAAAGGCGCGCGAUACAGGGUGACAGCCCCGUACACAAAAGCGCAUGUGCUGUGAGCUCGAUGAGUAGGGCGGGACACGUGGUAUCCUGUCUGAAUAUGGGGGGACCAUCCUCCAAGGCUAAAUACUCCUGACUGACCGAUAGUGAACCAGUACCGUGAGGGAAAGGCGAAAAGAACCCCGGCGAGGGGAGUGAAAAAGAACCUGAAACCGUGUACGUACAAGCAGUGGGAGCCCCACCACUAAGCCAGUGGUGAACUCCACAUCCGCAUCCUU
RNAcentral lists this ribosomal RNA (580 nucleotides) under Salmonella enterica subsp. enterica serovar Typhimurium. RNAcentral describes it as "partial 23S ribosomal RNA". It matches the Rfam family "Bacterial large subunit ribosomal RNA", at positions 1 to 585 of the family's 2925-position model. The record is from RNAcentral. Lineage: Bacteria; Pseudomonadati; Pseudomonadota; Gammaproteobacteria; Enterobacterales; Enterobacteriaceae.